Molecule: long non-coding RNA, 3597 nt
Organism: Apis cerana (Asiatic honeybee)
Lineage: Eukaryota; Metazoa; Arthropoda; Insecta; Hymenoptera; Apidae
Source: RefSeq, a predicted model, not a curated record
UAAAGUAUGCAUCGAUGCUCGUUAACACACUUAAUUGAAAAUAUAAAUAAAAAAUUCAAAUUUCGAACGGAUCCUUCGAAAAAAAAGCACAUCUUAAAUCCAACAGGAAACAGGGAGAAAUCGUGAGAAAACCGUUAACGUAAAAUACAUGCAUAUGGCCGAUAAAUAAACACGUCAGGAUUAUUAACGAGUCGAUACGAUACGAGUGACCACACGCGUGAUUACGUUAAUGCAGGUAAAUGCGUUUCCGUGUCGCAUUAUCGAAUUCGACUCGCGUAUCAGUCCUUGUUAAUAACUUUCCUUUCCCCCUAUUUUUUAUUUUUAUUCUUUUUUUUCUCCUCCUCCUCCUCGGGCGACUCGCACCGCGUUACCUUAGUUAUCUCAUCGAUUCCUCUGGUCUGGAACUGGGUAAAAAUAAACUGUGGGCCCGCGACAAAGGCAGCAAAGAAAGCGAAGGAGAAGGAUGGCGAGCGAAAGGGUACUCGCGUAUUCGUUGCCCGUUCGCUGCGUUGUUCAUCGGCGUGAAUGUUAAACGGAUCGUUCCCUCGGUCGCUACGUACGUCUAAAGUGUCCGGUUUAUGGACGUUCCUCGGGAGGAAUAGCAGCCCGCUGGUGAAUCGGCGUGGUGACCGGUAGUCGCUCGAAAUGACGUUAACAAGUUGAUCCACCGCCGGAAUCUUACUUCGAUUUUCGAAUUUACGUUGAAUGUGUAAUCAUCCGCCAAGCCCCUUCGUCGCCGAGGAUCGAAAGUUCGUCACGCGAAGGGAUAAAAAAAAAAGAAGGGGUGGAUAUUUUUGCGGCAAUAUCUCGAACUGCGGAUCGACGACGACGAGCUGCCAACAAUUAAUCCGGGCGGACAACGGCGUGGAACUGUGGACCGUAACUCUAUACCAAACGUGGACCCCUAAGUUGGAGCUUAGAGAUGAAGCAGCCAAGCAAGGAUGGAGGAGGGGGGCGACUAGGUUCUGAUCUCGUAUCGUAUUUCGUGUUAUUCAAAUGCCAACAAUGCCAUUAAAGGAUUUCUCUGGUAAUCCCUCGGCCCUUGGAUGCUUGCACGAUGGCGAAAACACCAAGAGGCACAAAGAGCGUGUACAAGGACAGUAAAACGGACGCAAACAGCCACGGGACAAUACGAGCGGAUUGUAUCUGCGAGCUUUGUUCCUUCCGAUCGGCCACUGCCUGCCCUGCCAUCGCUUCUCCCGCCAUCAAGGGCACGAUCUUCGUGGAUCGUGCUAUCGUGGAUCGCGUGUACGUUUUAAUAUCGAUGAUAAUGGUAUUAGAGUAGAUUUUGUUGUAUUAAUUAACGUUUCGAAAGAAAGAUCGAUAUUUGGCUAAUGGAUUGGAUUAGAAGAGGAUUUUUUAUUUUCAAUGAAAAAAAAUUGUACGUUUUAAUUCGAAAUAUUGUAAUAUAUCGAGGAUAAUAGAAAAAUUAACGAAGAUGAAAAUUUAAUAGAAUAUUCAACGUUCGAAUAUAAUAAUAGUAGGAAAAUUUAUGUUAGGAAUGCACCUCGAAAGAUUAAAAGAAAAAUCAAAGAUGAACAAAUGGAGUAAUAUAUCUAUUCGAACAUACAGUUUCGAUAACGAUAAAUCGAUUUGUUUGAUAUAACAGAGAUUACUUUUUUUUGCGUAUCAAUAAGGGGGUUGUUUUUAGCGCACUUAUCGAGUUACACGACACAGGGGAAGAGGGCAAGUGACGUUUUAUUCGAGAACGAAUGUCGAUGGUUUUGUAGGAGUCUCUAAAACGGAGAGAAAAUCGGGAUCAGAUGGGGAUGAAGUCAUCACCGGUGGAGCGAAACAGCAGCCCCGGCAGGGCUGUUGGCUCGGAAACAAUCACAUUAUACUUUGUACACCGAGCUCUUCCCCUAUACACAUCCCUCUCUCGGGGUGGACCGACGUAAUGUAAUGAUUCCUUAUUCCUUUAAGCUGAAAGAAUUAACGACUGGAGGACCCUUAAUGCAUUAAUUAAGUCAUCUUCGUCCGGUAUUACACUGGGUGGAAGAUAUUAAUCGCUACUUUGCGUUUGGGAUAAGAAAAAAGUUUUUUAAUCAUCAAAAAUUAAAAAAUACGUGGAGAUGAUUAAAUAUUUUCUUUUCGAGUUUCCCUCUUUUUCUUUCCUUUUCAAUUUCUCUACAAAUUCUACAAAUUCAGAUCAAUUUACAUUUCUAGAGAUAUAAUAAACAUCACCUAAUUACUUACAAUCGUAAUGAAACGUAAAUAUUGAUCCAAUAAAAAAAAAAAACGUAAACUUAAACCAUAAAACUGGUACAAAUUCCACAAUUUCUUGAAAUUAAAACACAAUCAUAAGUCAUAAAAUGAUAUGCGACUAACUUAUACGUUAUUCCAUGAAUAUUGGCGAGCGUUCAAUUUGUAAUAAAUUCCAGGCGAGAGAAGACCGGGGCCAGGGAUCAUUAAGUCCGGUAUUAUAAAUGCAUUAAAUACUGGGAGGCGAUGGGAUGAGUCAGAGUCGAAGGCAACGGGAAGUGGGAUUUCGGGAGGGUGGCAGGUGGCGCCAAUUUUACGGGCCGACGGCUGUGACGGAUGUAACGAGACGCAGUUCUGCGCGAGAGUUCGUCACACGUGGUCGCUUCGCUGGGCACGAUGUCAUGGAUGGUUUUAUGGGAAACGGAGGGAUGCUACGUCCGCGAGAUCAAAAAUCAUCCCCUUGGAAACCGAGGAAGCGGUGCACGUUUGAAUCGAAAGAGGAAAUGUUCAAGUGCGUUGAAUAUUUGGAAUCAACGUGUUUGUUUCAUGAUUGAUUGAAGAUAAUUUGAUUUAAUUCAAUAAAAAGUAAGAAUUUUCAAUUACGUGGUUUCCAUAAGUGAUCUAAAUAAAUGCAACUGGAUAAAAAAGUUAGUGUUUACGGAAUAGCUGAUAGUCUCAAGUUUGUGUAAUCAGUAACCAACGUCCCGCUGUGGAGCAUAGAAAUGGGACAUCAGCUGUUGAUCUACUGGCCUAUAAACUGUUCACACAGUUUCUAUAAUAUAUGCAACUUUGACUUUACCACGCAAGGAUACUAAAAGAGUCAAGAUAAAUAUACUCUUUACUCUGAUUUUACUCAUAAAAUUCUAUACCGCUUCUAAAUCUUGAUACUUGGCUGUAACCCUGUUUUUCGUUAAUAUUCAAUCGACUUUUCUAUUUUUCAUCGUUCACAGUAACUUUAUCAAUGCUAAAACAAAAUAUUCCAAUCCCAUUAUUCUUACAAUCUACAAACCACUCACUCGAACCUACUUCUCAUCGUUAUACUAACCAAAUGGAGUAACCUUUCUCUCUCGCAAACCCAUCAAUUCUGAAUCGAAUUCCAAGCACCGAUUGCAACAUCGAAAAUAUGUAAAUAUACAUUUUCAAACACCCAAAUACUCACAUUAACACAACAAACCGAUUUAGACUUAUGGUAAACGCGAGCUGCUGGAUACGUUCUCCAUUAUAUGGAUCGUUAAUCAUCAUCCACCCAAUCUUAAACGGUUCCAUUCCACUUUAUAUACUUUAAAAACAGCCUUAUCGACCACUCUCUCCCUCUCCCUUUACCAACUAACUAGGAUCUACGUGACUGGACAACUGGUUGCGUGCACGGUAUCGCGGCGCACACUUUUGCCGCGC